Molecule: ribosomal RNA, 372 nt
Filed under: uncultured bacterium
Lineage: Bacteria
Description: bacterial SSU rRNA
Rfam family: Bacterial small subunit ribosomal RNA
Source: RNAcentral
UACGGAGGGUGCAAGCGUUAUCCGGAUUCACUGGGUUUAAAGGGUGCGUAGGCGGGCGGAUAAGUCUGUGGUGAAAUCUCUGAGCUUAACUCGGAAACUGCCAUGGAUACUAUUUGUCUUGAAUGUUGUGGAGGUGAGCGGAAUAUGUCAUGUAGCGGUGAAAUGCUUAGAUAUGACAUAGAACACCAAUUGCGAAGGCAGCUCACUACACAAAUAUUGACGCUGAGGCACGAAAGCGUGGGGAUCAAACAGGAUUAGAUACCCUGGUAGUCCACGCCCUAAACGAUGGAUACUCGACAUACGCGAUACACAGUGUGUGUCUGAGCGAAAGCAUUAAGUAUCCCACCUGGGAAGUACGAUCGCAAGAUUGAA